This is a long non-coding RNA of Ipomoea nil (Japanese morning glory), 226 nucleotides long. RefSeq lists it as uncharacterized. NCBI's taxonomy places the organism in Eukaryota, Viridiplantae, Streptophyta, Magnoliopsida, Solanales, Convolvulaceae. The transcript has 2 exons. The record is from RefSeq and is a predicted model, not a curated record.
UGAGGGUUUUUUCCAAGAUUAUAUUUGGUACUUGAUAUGUUCUGAGUCAGUGCAUUGAACACCUGUAUAAUAAAAAUAAAAAUAGAUAAAGAUCUUUACUCUUACUUAAGAUCAUUAAAGACAGAUGGCUUUGAACAAAUAAUAAAGAGUGAUUAUGCUCUCCUGUAAAUUGUAAAUUCUCAAAUGACAUAUCACCCCAUCCAAAGAAAGCAAAAAGAGACAAGAA